GAUGAACGCUGGCGGCGUGCCUAAUACAUGCAAGUCGAGCGAACAGACGAGGAGCUUGCUCCCCUGCCGUUAGCGGCGGACGGGUGAGUAACACGUGGAUAACCUACCUCUAAUACUGGGAUAACUUCGGGAAACCGGAGCUAAUACCGGAUAAUAUAUUCAACCGCAUGGUUCAAUAGUGAAUGACGGUUUUGCUGUCACUUUUAGAUGGAUCCGCGCCGCAUUAGCUAGUUGGUAAGGUAACGGCUUACCAAGGCAACGAUGCGUAGCCGACCUGAGAGGGUGAUCGGCCACACUGGAACUGAGACACGGUCCAGACUCCUACGGGAGGCAGCAGUAGGGAAUCUUCCGCAAUGGGCGAAAGCCUGACGGAGCAACGCCGCGUGAGUGAUGAAGGUCUUCGGAUCGUAAAACUCUGUUAUUAGGGAAGAACAAAUGUGUAAGUAACUAUGCACGUCUUGACGGUACCUAAUCAGAAAGCCACGGCUAACUACGUG
RNAcentral lists this ribosomal RNA (497 nucleotides) under uncultured bacterium. RNAcentral's name for it is "partial 16S ribosomal RNA". It matches the Rfam family "Bacterial small subunit ribosomal RNA", at positions 28 to 507 of the family's 1533-position model. The record is from RNAcentral.